CACACCGCCCGUCACACCAUGAAAGUUGUGCCUACCAGAAGUCAUUGCGCUAACCGUAAGGGGGCAGAUGCCCAAGGUAGGAACGAUGAUUGGGGUG
RNAcentral lists this ribosomal RNA (97 nucleotides) under uncultured bacterium. RNAcentral's name for it is "partial 16S ribosomal RNA". It matches the Rfam family "Bacterial small subunit ribosomal RNA", at positions 1386 to 1482 of the family's 1533-position model. The record is from RNAcentral.